CAGAGCAAAGGAGAGAGAGACGCAAAAAACAGAGCCCCCGAUUCCCCUCAUCUCUCCCAGAUCGCCGCCACCUCUCCCUCCUCCGAUCCACCUCGCCGCCGGCCCUUCCCUUCCCAUCAUCCCACCGCGCAGCUCCGGCGGCUGCUGGAUCCAUCGCAUCCGCCACCCACCCAUCCCUCUCGCGUCCGAUCUCUAGCUCUCUUCACACGCCUCCUCGCCAUCUGCGAUGGCUAAUUCAGGCGACGUCCGGCGAAUCCCGCCAUCACGAAGCAUAGCCCGAGGUCCCCAUCGAAACGCAGCGUCGUCCCAUGCGACUAGAUCCGCUGCUCACGGCUACCCCCGCCCUGGCAAGGGUUUCGGCCGUCGGCUCCGGCACCGGUGGCCAGGUCGUCCUCCUUUGGUACUCCUCUCUUCCGACGUGCAGGGAGGAACAGGCUGCGUAUGCACUCCAUCGUGACACUACUGACGGUGAUGUCAAUGGACGAGAUGUGCCUCGGCGUCGACGAGCAUGCACUGAGGCGGGAAGUGGAAAAGGAAUACAUCGCCAAGCGAACUCAAUGGUACGAUGCUGGAGGUGGAAGACGUGGCCAACAUGGCUCUGUAUGUCGAGUCGGACGAGGCUAGGUAUGUGACCAUGACUUGGACUUCGAACUAUCCCUGGGAGUUAAGGCUGAACCUUCUACAUGUGUGUUGCAUAACCACUACUAGACAUUUGAAUAUAUCCGACCUCACCCAAAAAGCAUCAAGAUAAUUGAUCAACCUAAAACUAUGGAUUUAGUAACCUCUUCGUUCUGUCAGUUUUCUUGAUUAUCUAUGUCUGCCUGCUGCUUAGAUUAAAAGCAUUUGUUUGGCAGUGGCGGAGCGUGGCAAGAAGUGAAGAAACCAAGAGGGGGCCAUUUUUUAAAAACGAAAUACGCAUUACUAGGAGCAGUGUGAGCUGAUGGUUCAUUCUUUUUCAACACUGCUCACAAACAGAAGUAGACGAGUAUAUGGAGGUGUUAUUUUUCAGCCGGAAGUAUAGCUGCUACUCACGUAUGCAAGAACGACAGACAAAUUAUUUUCAGCCAUAAUUCAAGAAAACCAAGAUUGUAAUGGAGUAUAGAAUAAAAGCAUGCUGAGUACUUCGGAGUCAUGCGUUGUGGAUCAAGGCAUUGACACAGCCGACCCGCCGGCAGCGACAUGCCUCGUCGAUCAAAGGCAUUGGCACAGCCAACCGGCCUGCAGCAAUGUCGAGCACGACGGUCACCAUGUCACGGCCUGAGGGACAUUCUCAAUGUGUUGACCUCGCCGCCGAAGGAGCAGAGACAAUUGGUGCGGCACGAGGUCGUGACCGCGACGACCCUGCAGCCCGCGCACACGAGGUCAAGGGCUCGAUGCAGGACUCAUUGCCGAUACUGGAGGAGGCGCCAUGGCAGCACCAAUAGGUCUUGCAGCAUGCUACACGGUAUUGCUCCGGCCAUCUCUGGCCAUGGAUAUGCCAUCAAUUGCAGGUUUCCUGCUUGCUAUGGUGCACUGCAGGUCAUCUUUGUUUCUCAUACCAAUGGUCACACUCACAGCCACCGUGUUGUAGCCCCUUUUGGCCUCCAUGAGGCUCCGCCAGUGUCGUGUCGUAUCAUAGGGAAGGUUGCAUAUACGGACAAUCGCCACAUGCACAACACCAGUCACUGACUUAAACACAUGUCCAGAACUAAUGCCAAACAUGCAUAAAUCCAUAUCUUGAAUCUUAUGUUCUUAAACAGCAACCAUGCAUGUAAGGACAAGCCAUGUAAAUAGGAUUCAGUCAUAUUCUAAUAUGUUUUAUCCUUUUUUAUAAUUGUAAUUUUUUAUGUCAAUUAUUCUUUACUACAGGUAGCUCUCAAACUGCGCAGAGUCAAGAUUGAUGCUAUGGUACCAUUAAUGAUUCCAGCUGAAGAUAUUUGCAACCUGAACUGUUACACAAGUUUACUAUUGUGCCAAUGUGUCAUCAUGUGUUUCCAUGAUUUUUGCAAACCUUUAAUAUAUCCCCGGGUUCCUUUUCUUCUAUGCUAGAAUUGGUUUGGAAAAACUGUAUGCAACUAUGGCCAUGAAAUUGUAUUAAGAAUUAUGCAAGGAGUGAGUCAUCAUUUCUUGAAUGGGUUUGCAGUUCUAGCUCUUUGUAUACCACACAAUAUUGUGUCAUGUCUUGAUAUUAUUAUAACUUUAAUAUGAUCCAAACACACACAACUUCCUACAGAAAACUUACUAUGAAUUUUCUUUUGGCAACGUUUAUGAAACACAAAUGAAGUAAGAUGCCAGAAAUCAAUUGAAGAAAUUGAUGGAAAUUGGUAGAAAAUUAUCUUUCUAACAUUUCAGUAUUAGCAAACUGAUUCUAAUGAGAAUAGUAGAUUUGUAUACGCCAUACAGUAGGGUGUGGAUUCAUUCCUUAAGGCUGGCUUAUAAUUAUGUUCUAAUUAUAGUUUCUGUGUCAGCCCAUUCUCUUUCAUUGUAUACUUUUAAUGAUAACAGAGCGACUUCUUUUAUAAAUUCUUAGCUUCUUUUAUAGAUUCUUAGUUACUCAUGUAUGCAGGUCAGCAUCAAGGCUAUGAAGCGAAAGAUCAGACAAAGGUUUUCGCCAUGUUUGUCCUUCAGCUUAGUAACUGUACGUCUAGUUCUUUCCCCUAUUGUAGUCCUUUUAUUUGCACCGUACUUCUUGAAAGAUGAUAACUUGCAAUCAUUAUUGUAGAGUGGCCGUGCUUCUAUUUAUAUUCCUGAAAUAAACUGAAAUUUCAUUUGCAUCUCUAUAACUUCAUUUUGUUAAUAAAAAGGUUUGAUUAAUUAAGCAGUGCAAUUACAUGGCUUUAUCCUUAUUUUCCAUUGUAUCAUGUCUCCACUUCUAUUUAACAGGGAUCGUAGCUCUUGCUAUAGUUGUAAGUUGUGAUCUUAAAUGUAUUUUUUUUUGAUAUCGUGAUCCUAAAUGUACACUUGAUGGUGCUGAAAUUACAAAUGAAUUCUCGGCAGUGCAUGUUGAUAUGGCACUUGUGAAAACUGAAGAUUUGGUACGGAGUCGUAAAACGUGUAAUAUUCUCGGUAAUGCAGAAAAACAAAGAUUGCAUUGCCCUCAACCUUUAUUCAAAAGAUAUAUGGCUGAUUAUAUGGUUGCGUGGCAAGAAUACUGCAAUGAUGAUGAUGGUGUUCUACUGUUCUUGUUCAUGAUGAUGAUGAUAAUGACGACAGACGCUUUUAGUUGUAGCUAAGUUGUAGGGAUGUUGUUCCUGUUGGAUGAUGUUCGUGUUCCUCAGUUAAGUUUUUGUUAAGUUGUAGGGAUGUUGAUGGAUGCUUUCAGUUUAAGUUUUAAUGUCAAGAAAAUAUUUAGAUUAUGUAUCACAAUUGGAUGAAGUUGCUCAUGUAAUAUCUACUAUUGUAAUCCAGCAGUUCUAUCCAAUAUAUGAUUUCGGAUUUCGCCCUGUGUA
Molecule: long non-coding RNA, 3428 nt
Organism: Triticum dicoccoides
Lineage: Eukaryota; Viridiplantae; Streptophyta; Magnoliopsida; Poales; Poaceae
Exons: 3
Source: RefSeq, a predicted model, not a curated record